Molecule: ribosomal RNA, 477 nt
Filed under: uncultured Planctomycetota bacterium
Lineage: Bacteria; Pseudomonadati; Planctomycetota
Description: bacterial SSU rRNA
Rfam family: Bacterial small subunit ribosomal RNA
Source: RNAcentral
UUCGCAAUGCCCGAAAGGGUGACUAUGCGACGCCGCGUGUGGGAAGAAGGCCUUCGGGUUGUAAACCACUGUCGGGAGUUAAGAAAUGUAAGGGUGUUAAUAGCGCCUUUACUUGACAAAGGCUCCGGAGGAAGCCACGGCUAACUCUGUGCCAGCAGCCGCGGUAAUACAGAGGCGGCAAGCGUUGUUCGGAAUUAUUGGGCGUAAAGAGCACGUAGGCGGCUUUGCAUGUCAGUUGUGAAAGCCUUCCGCUUAACGGAAGAACAGCAGCUGAUACUACAGAGCUUGAGUACGGGAGGGGAGAGUGGAACUUCUGGUGGAGCGGUGAAAUGCGUAGAUAUCAGAAGGAACGCCGGCGGCGAAAGCGACUCUCUGGCCCGUAACUGACGCUGAGUGUGCGAAAGCUAGGGGAGCAAACGGGAUUAGAUACCCCGGUAGUCCUAGCCGUAAACGAUGGGCACUAAGUAGAGGGGUUUU